This 72-nucleotide transfer RNA is filed under the name Polypedilum unifascium. RNAcentral describes it as "tRNA-Lys". The record is from RNAcentral. Lineage: Eukaryota; Metazoa; Arthropoda; Insecta; Diptera; Chironomidae.
CAUUAGAUGACUGAAAAGCAAGUAAUGGUCUCUUAAACCAAAAUAUAGUAAAUUAGUAAAUACUUCUAAUGA